This 91-nucleotide transfer RNA is filed under the name Holdemania filiformis. RNAcentral describes it as "tRNA-Ser". It matches the Rfam family "tRNA". From Rfam's summary of the family: Transfer RNA (tRNA) molecules are approximately 80 nucleotides in length. Their secondary structure includes four short double-helical elements and three loops (D, anti-codon, and T loops). Further hydrogen bonds mediate the characteristic L-shaped molecular structure. tRNAs have two regions of fundamental functional importance: the anti-codon, which is responsible for specific mRNA codon recognition, and the 3' end, to which the tRNAs corresponding amino acid is attached (by aminoacyl-tRNA synthetases). tRNAs cope with the degeneracy of the genetic code in two manners: having more than one tRNA (with a specific anti-codon) for a particular amino acid; and 'wobble' base-pairing, i.e. permitting non-standard base-pairing at the 3rd anti-codon position. The record is from RNAcentral. Lineage: Bacteria; Bacillati; Bacillota; Erysipelotrichia; Erysipelotrichales; Erysipelotrichaceae. RNAcentral also lists the same sequence under 2 other names.
GAAGAAGUACUCAAGAGGCUGAAGAGGUGCCCCUGCUAAGGGCAUAGGUCGCGAAAGCGGCGCGCGGGUUCAAAUCCCGCCUUCUUCGCCA